GACGUAGGGGGCCAGCGUUGUUCGGAAUUACUGGGUGUAAAGGGUUCGUAGGCGGUGUGGCAAGUUGGGAGUGAAAUCUCUGGGCUUAACCCAGAGGCUGCUUCCAAAACUGCUGUGCUUGAGUGUGAGAGAGGCUCGUGGAAUUGCAGGUGUAGCGGUGAAAUGCGUAGAUAUCUGCAGGAACACCCGUGGCGAAAGCGGCGAGCUGGAUCACAACUGACGCUGAGGAACGAAAGCUAGGGGAGCAAAC
RNAcentral lists this ribosomal RNA (250 nucleotides) under uncultured bacterium. Its description in RNAcentral is "partial 16S ribosomal RNA". It matches the Rfam family "Bacterial small subunit ribosomal RNA", at positions 524 to 773 of the family's 1533-position model. The record is from RNAcentral.